CAGCAGUAGCCGCGGUAAAACGUAGGUGGCAAGCGUUGUCCGGAAUUAUUGGGCGUAAAGGGCUCGCAGGCGGUUUCUUAAGUCUGAUGCGAAAGCCCCCGGCUCAACCGGGGAGGGUCAUUGGAAACUGGGAAACUUGAGUGCAGAAGAGGAGAGUGGAAUUCCACGUGUAGCGGUGAAAUGCGUAGAGAUGUGGAGGAACACCAGUGGCGAAGGCGACUCUCUGGUCUGUAACUGACGCUGAGGAGCGAAAGCGUGGGGAGCGAACAGGAUUAGAUACCCGAGUAGUCCCUGUCUCUUAUAA
Molecule: ribosomal RNA, 304 nt
Filed under: uncultured bacterium
Lineage: Bacteria
Description: partial 16S ribosomal RNA
Rfam family: Bacterial small subunit ribosomal RNA
Source: RNAcentral